AGUGAACGCUGGCGGUAGGCCUAACACAUGCAAGUCGAACGGCAGCACAGUAAGAGCUUGCUCUUACGGGUGGCGAGUGGCGGACGGGUGGGGAAUACAUCGGAAUCUACUUUUUCGUGGGGGAUAACGUAGGGAAACUUACGCUAAUACCGCAUACGACCUACGGGUGAAAGCAGGGGAUCUUCGGACCUUGCGCGAUUGAAUGAGCCGAUGUCGGAUUAGCUAGUUGGCGGGGUAAAGGCCCACCAAGGCGACGAUCCGUAGCUGGUCUGAGAGGAUGAUCAGCCACACUGGAACUGAGACACGGUCCAGACUCCUACGGGAGGCAGCAGUGGGGAAUAUUGGACAAUGGGCGCAAGCCUGAUCCAGCCAUACCGCGUGGGUGAAGAAGGCCUUCGGGUUGUAAAGCCCUUUUGUUGGGAAAGAAAAGCAGCAGGUUAAUACCCCGCUGUUCUGACGGUACCCAAAGAAUAAGCACCGGCUAACUUCG
Molecule: ribosomal RNA, 490 nt
Filed under: uncultured bacterium
Lineage: Bacteria
Description: partial 16S ribosomal RNA
Rfam family: Bacterial small subunit ribosomal RNA
Source: RNAcentral